UCGAAAGUCGAUGAUAACAGAUGGUGGAUCUCCUCGGUUCAACUCUUGGUUUUUACUCGACAGAAUUGCUACAAUAAUGCUAGGAUCCACAGAUUGUGCGGCUCCAUUUGAUCCAGUUUCAAGACCUGUGAAGAGAGGAGGCCAAUGCAGCGAGAACUUCAAGAUCAGCAAAAUUACUGUAAUGAUCAGAUCAUAUGAAGGCAUCUCAAGCAUUUGUGGUUCCAUCCUGUUUCCAGUUGCAGCGACCUCAACAGCCCGUAAAAACUAGAAUCAGAAAGAUGGUGAAUUGUGUGUGAUAUCUGGACAGCAGCCCUGAAUUAAGCUCCACAUUCAAGACGAACAUGAAAAGGAAUGCCUGUCCUGGGGCUUCUAGAGAUUACGCAGCACCAUUGAUGUGAUCCAAGAACUGUAAAGAGAUGAUGCCAACCAUUGAAGACUUCGAGGACAACACAU
Molecule: non-coding RNA, 453 nt
Organism: Danio rerio (zebrafish)
Lineage: Eukaryota; Metazoa; Chordata; Actinopteri; Cypriniformes; Danionidae
Source: Ensembl